RNAcentral lists this ribosomal RNA (1323 nucleotides) under Neorhizobium galegae. RNAcentral describes it as "16S ribosomal RNA". It matches the Rfam family "Bacterial small subunit ribosomal RNA", at positions 155 to 1532 of the family's 1533-position model. The record is from RNAcentral. Lineage: Bacteria; Pseudomonadati; Pseudomonadota; Alphaproteobacteria; Hyphomicrobiales; Rhizobiaceae.
AAGCUGAGCUAAUUCCGUAUACGCCCUUCGUGGGAAAAAUUUAUCGGGUAUGGAUGAGCCCGCGUUGUAUUAGCUAGUUGGUGAGGUAAAGGCUUACCAAGGCGUCGAUCCAUAGCGGUCUGAGAGGAUGAUCAGCCACAUUGGGACUGAGACACGGCCAAACUCCUACGGGAGGCAUGAAGUGGGGAAUAUUGUCAUGGGCAGCAAGCCUGAUCCACCAUGCCCGCAGUGAGUGAUGAAGGUCUUAGGAUUGUAAAGCUCUUUCACCGGAGAACAUAAUGACGGUAUCCGGAUGAAGAAGCCCCGGAUAACUUUGUGCCAGCAGCCCGCGGUAAUACGAAAGGGGCUAGCCGUUGUUCGGAAUACUGGGCGUAAAGCGCACGUAUGCGGAUAUUUAAGUCAGGGGUGAAAUCCCAGAGCUCAACUCUGGAACUGCCUUUGAUACUGGGCAUCUUGAGUAUGGAAGAGGUAAGUGGAAUUGCAGUGUAGAGGUGAAAUUCGUAGAUAUUCGCAGGAACACCAGUGGCGAAGGCGGUUACUGGUCCAUUACUGACCUGAGGUCGAACGUGGGAAGCAAACAGGAUUAGAUACCCUGGUAGCCACGCCGUAACGAUAAAUGUAACCGUCGGCAAGUUUACUUGGCGGGGCGCAAGCUAACGCAAUUAAACAUUCCGCCUGGAGAGACGGCCGCAGAUAAUACUUCAAGGAAUUGACGGGGCCCCCCCCACGGGGAGCAUGUGGUUUAAUUCGAAGCAACGCGCAGAACCUUACCAGCCCUUGACAUGCCCGGCCAGAUGCAGAGAUGCAGUGUUCCCUUCGGGGACCGGGACACAGGGCUGCAUGGUGUCGUCACUCUGUCGUGAGAUGUUGGGUAAGUCCCGCAACGAGCGCAACCCUCGCCCUUAGUUGCCAGCAUUCAGUUGGGCACUCUAAGGGGACUGCCGGUGAUAAGCCGAGAGGAAGGUGGGAUGACGUCAGGCCUCAUGGCCCUUACUGGCUGGGCUACACACGUGCUACAAUGGGGGGGACAGUGGGCAGCGAAGGAGCGAUCCCGAGCUAAUCUCCAAAAGCCAUCUCAGUUCGGAUUGCACUCUGCAACUCGAGUGCAUGAAAUUGGAAUCGCUAGUAAUCGCGGAUCACCACGCCGCGGUGAAUACGUUCCCGGGCCUUGUACACACCGCCCGUCACACCAUGGGAGUUGGUUUUACCCGAAGGUAGUGCGCUAACCGCAAGGAGGCAGCUAACCUCGGUAGGGUCAGACGACUUGGGGUGAAUCUUACCAAGGAAGCCGGAAGGGAACCUUGGGGGGUGGAUCACCUUCUU